GCAGGUGGAAGAGAUGUGUUUGAGUUUCUCGCUCUACCUAGUGUGAGUUGGACUUGAGAGGUUAACUAAUAGAUUGAAACCUUAUGAUGGGCAAAUUUUUCAUCCUUUUUUUUUUCUGCUUCUUUUGAAUGCUUUUUCUCUCUUUCAUAAACACUUCUUAACACCUUCAAAACAUAAUACAUUUGAACUAUUUUGUUAGGCAUCUUUC
RNAcentral lists this long non-coding RNA (208 nucleotides) under Vigna radiata. RNAcentral's name for it is "long non-coding RNA (VRAD_LNC006066)". Lineage: Eukaryota; Viridiplantae; Streptophyta; Magnoliopsida; Fabales; Fabaceae. The record is from RNAcentral.